This is a long non-coding RNA of Oncorhynchus nerka (sockeye salmon), 552 nucleotides long. RefSeq lists it as uncharacterized. The transcript has 3 exons. NCBI's taxonomy places the organism in Eukaryota, Metazoa, Chordata, Actinopteri, Salmoniformes, Salmonidae. The record is from RefSeq and is a predicted model, not a curated record.
ACACUGGGAUCAGAGAACUGUUCUCAGUAAAGCUCUCAGCAAAACCAUCUUAAAGUGUCUACCAAAUAUCAACAAACUCAGGUUUACCCCUCUACAACAUCAGAGAGGAUCCCCUGAAAGACUGAAGACAGAAGAGAAAGCAGUCCUACUAGAUUUGUGUCUACAAGCAGCACUAGAUCACAGAGAAACAUUCCAGAGAACUGUGAACACACUGCUGUCACUGUUCUCUGUGUAUCAAACUGAGAGAUAUGACAUCCUGCUGGAUCUGUACUCUCAUGUGAAGUAUAAUAGGAAUCAAACAGCCAGGAGUAUCCUUCCAUCCUUGAAGCCACUUUACCAGUCAGCUUAUGCAGUCUGGUCCAUAGACCUCUCAGAGAGAAAGGCCUCCCUCCUCCUAGAAGUGUUGAAACUCCAACUAGAGAAGAAACCAGUAGAGCUGAAGGACUGGUCAGAUGAAAAGAGUGAAGUGAGGAGUUUCCUUCAGUGUCUGCCCUACAUCUCACAGCUGAGAUUUCUUCCACUGAAGGAUAACAUAAAGAGGAGAAAGAGAGA